UUUCCGGUGGUAAUGGCAAAGAGGAAACACCCGUUCUCAUCCCGAACACGGAAGUUAAGCUCUUUAGCGCCGAUGGUACUACAUGGGAAGCUGUGUGGGAGAGUAGGUCACUGCCGGAAA
Molecule: ribosomal RNA, 120 nt
Filed under: Desulfosarcina sp. BuS5
Lineage: Bacteria; Pseudomonadati; Thermodesulfobacteriota; Desulfobacteria; Desulfobacterales; Desulfosarcinaceae
Source: RNAcentral